This is a long non-coding RNA of Acomys russatus (golden spiny mouse), 390 nucleotides long. RefSeq lists it as uncharacterized. The record is from RefSeq and is a predicted model, not a curated record. The transcript is spliced from 3 exons. NCBI's taxonomy places the organism in Eukaryota, Metazoa, Chordata, Mammalia, Rodentia, Muridae.
AUCACCUCCUCUGUAAGCCUUGGCUUCUUCAUCUGUUCCUUAGGAAAAUCAAGACUGCUCAGGACCAAGGGACACAACGGCUAUCGAAGAUCGUCACAGGUUUACACCUCCCCUAGUGUGGAGAAGGGGCCUUGCUGAGGAAGUGAUAGCUGGAGCUACAACAGCCAUCUUAUGACAAUGAGGUGAUGUGCUGAGGACAGUGGAAGACAAAGACAGAAGAAUCCAGGGACGUCUGACACGGUAAAGCAUGCAAAUGUAGAUUCGGAAGUCGUUCAGGACACACUGGCACACAAAACCCAUUCUGCAAAGGUCACUGAGGGAGGUGCUUCGGCACAUGCGGAGGUACAACUGCAAUGUGGUCACCGGGGAGAAACAGGCAGUACCUUCGCC